CAAUAGCGUAUAUUAAAGCUGUUGCGGUUAAAAAGCUCGUAGUUGGAUUUCUGUCAAGGACAACUGGUCCGCCCUCCGGGUGAGCACAUAGUUUGGUCUUGCCAUCUUGCUGGAAGCUGUUGCUGCACUUGGCUGUGUGGCGCAGUGUUCAGCACUUUCACUUUGAGGAAAUUGGAGUGUUUCAAGCAGGCACAUGCCUUUGGACACAGUAGCAUGGAAUAAUUAGAUUGGGCUUUUGCUCCAAUUUGUCGGUUUCUGGAGCUGAGGUGAGUAUUAAUGGGGAUUGUUGGGGGCAUCCGAAUUUAGCCGUCAGAGGUGAAAUUCUUGGAUCUGCUAAAGACGGACAACUGCGAAAGCGUUUGCCCAGGAUGUUUUCAUUGA
This 381-nucleotide ribosomal RNA is filed under the name uncultured eukaryote. RNAcentral describes it as "partial 18S ribosomal RNA". It matches the Rfam family "Eukaryotic small subunit ribosomal RNA", at positions 592 to 976 of the family's 1831-position model. The record is from RNAcentral.